AGCGAACGCUGGUGGCAGGCCUAACACAUGCAAGUCGAACGAACUCUUCGGAGUUAGUGGCGGACGGGUGAGUAACACGUGGGAACGGGCCUUUUGGUUCGGAAUAACUCAGGGAAACUUGUGCUAAUACCGAAUGUGCCCUUCGGGGGAAAGAUUUAUCGCCAUUAGAGCAGACCGCGUCUGAUUAGAUAGUUGGGGAGGUAAAAGCACGCCAAGGCGACGAUCAGUAGCUAGUCUGAGAGGAUGACCAGCCACUCUGGGACUGAGACCCGGCCGAGACUCCGCCGUGUGGCACCGCUCGCGAAUGUUGCGCAAUCGGCGAAAGCCUGACGCAACUAUGCCGCGUGAAUGAUGAAGGUCUUAGGAUUGUAAAAUUCUUUCGCCGGUGGCGAUAAUGACGGUGCCCGGAGAAGAUGCCCCGGCUACCUUCGUGCCAGCAGCCGCCUUGA
RNAcentral lists this ribosomal RNA (449 nucleotides) under uncultured bacterium. RNAcentral describes it as "partial 16S ribosomal RNA". It matches the Rfam family "Bacterial small subunit ribosomal RNA", at positions 29 to 523 of the family's 1533-position model. The record is from RNAcentral.